RNAcentral lists this long non-coding RNA (607 nucleotides) under Homo sapiens (human). RNAcentral's name for it is "HSALNT0364646". Lineage: Eukaryota; Metazoa; Chordata; Mammalia; Primates; Hominidae. The record is from RNAcentral.
UGUUCUAGGCAGUUUGUUUUUCCAUAUUGAAACAAAGAAACUUGCUGAGAUUUUUAUUGUAAUUACUUUGUCUGCAUAUUGAUUUGGAAUUAACUUUGGAAUAAUAUUGGAUAUUACAAGCCAUGGAAAAUGUUACAAUGUCAUUGCUACAUGAAGAGAAGAUCAAGAGAAUUCAGCCAGAAGACUGUAGAAACAAAGAUAUAACAGUUUUGGAUUAUUGCUUGCUCUUGAAAUGUGUUGUUUCAAAGGAACACAUUAUUUUGGACAUGCAAUCAGAUGAAACAUUAAAGGAGAGAAGCCUGAAGAACAAAGCAGCCACAGAUCAACAGGAGUAUAGUUUAUUAGAGGUUGGUUAGAGACUUUUUGCUAAUGAGCUGUACUGUCCAUAGGCAUCAUCAUGGGGUUCUCAAAUCUAAUGAUACCCAUGCCAUCAAUUCUGAGUAAAGUGGUUACAAAAGAAACUGAUAUUUAAUUUUUACUAUAAUAGAAAAUGGCAUGUAUAUGUGUCUUAAUUCAUUCAGUAGAUGCAACAUAGGGUAGUGGAAUGAUCACUUUCCUGUAUAAUUAAUUGUAAGAGCUAGAGUUCAUAUAAUCACUAAUUAUUAAA